GUUUUCCAUAUAAAAAAAAAUAUUAGGUUGGUGUAAAAGUAAUCACGGUUUUUGCCAUUACUUUAAAGGCAAAGCCACAAUUACUUCUGCACCAACCUAAUAUGUAAAU
RNAcentral lists this microRNA precursor (109 nucleotides) under Chlorocebus sabaeus (green monkey). RNAcentral describes it as "miRNA (ENSCSAG00000026047.1)". The record is from RNAcentral. Lineage: Eukaryota; Metazoa; Chordata; Mammalia; Primates; Cercopithecidae.